This 377-nucleotide unclassified non-coding RNA is filed under the name uncultured Actinomycetes bacterium. RNAcentral describes it as "uncultured actinobacterium contains 16S-23S intergenic spacer region". Lineage: Bacteria; Bacillati; Actinomycetota; Actinomycetes. The record is from RNAcentral.
UCCGAGUUGACCCCGGCAGUCUCCUAUGAGUCCCCACCACUACGUGCUGGCAACAUAGAACGAGGGUUGCGCUCGUUGCGGGACUUAACCCAACAUCUCACGACACGAGCUGACGACAACCAUGCACCACCUGUGUACCGACCUUGCGGGGAGCACAUCUCUGCACUUUUCCGGUGUAUGUCAAGCCUUGGUAAGGUUCUUCGCGUUGCAUCGAAUUAAUCCGCAUGCUCCGCCGCUUGUGCGGGCCCCCGUCAAUUCCUUUGAGUUUUAGCCUUGCGGCCGUACUCCCCAGGCGGGGCGCUUAAUGCGUUAGCUGCGGCACGGAACCCAUGGAAUAGGCCCCACACCUAGCGCCCAACGUUUACGGUGUGGACUAC